GAUGUGCAGAAGUGCAUCUGCACAGACACCCAUCAUGAACUUUGUCCUCCUUUUGGGCAUACAGGAAAACAACAGUGUGAGUAUAAAGGGGGGAGCAGAGAGUGUUGCUGUUGUUCCAAAAGCUACUGCUAGACAGAGCUGAGCUGAGGGAGAUUUUACCAGACGCAGAUCGAGCCUGCGGCACGGCACCGCGAUGAGGGUGGGGCUCAGCCUGCUCCUGGCUCUCUGCCUGCUCCCUGGGGGCGGAGCAGAAAGUGAGGGGGAGGGGACCCGCUGUAAGCCGCCGCCUGGUUGGAGCAUUGGGGAGGUGGAGCCAAUGAAGGAGGUUAUGGGCCAGGUCACAGUGGUGGCCCUCCUCCAGGCCAGCUGUAUGUUCUGCUUGGUGCAGGCAUCCUUAUUGGAUGAGCUGCGCCUAAAGCUGGAGGGCCAGGGUUUGGACAAUGUGACCUAUAUGGUGGUGAACCACCAGGGGGAGCAUGCCCAGCGCCUUCACACCUUGCUGAGCCAGAAACUGUCUGAGAACAUCAUGCUGUACAAACAGGAGCCCAAACAGGAGGACGUGUGGCAGGCCCUGGCUGGAAAGAAGGAUGACUUCCUCAUCUAUGACAGGUGUGGUCGUCUGACCCACCAUAUCUCCCUCCCCUUUUCCAUCCUGGGUACUCACUACGUAGAGAACGCCAUUAAGGAGACCUACUGCCAACGCAUAUGUGGGGACUGCAUGUAUGAGAGCACGGAGAUCCCAGCAGAGUGCAACAGGAUGACAGAGGCGAAGCCUGAGGGAGAAGAGAAGCCAGCCACUGGAGGGGAUACACCUCACGGUGGACACGGCCAUCAUCACCAUGGCAACGGGCACGGUCACCAUGACAACAGCCAUGGUCACGGUCACCAUGGUGAGAGGGGGGUGGGGCACGGUCACGGUCGUGGCCAUGGGGUGGAGCAGCAGCAGCACCAACAUGGCGCUGAGGGGCUCCACCAUGGCCAGGCCCACGUUGGUCAGGAGCAUAUGGGUCAGCAGCCCAUGGAGGCGCAGGAAGGGAAUAUUAUGCAGAGGCCCUGAGUGAAGGGGAGGGCCAGGUGAAAGGCGGAGCUCAGCUGACAUUUGAAGGAGGGGUCUGAUCUAAGUCCCUCCUCCAAGGUCAGCUGAUGCUGACACUGACGGAGGCUGUUUGGCGAUGGGGUGAGCAACGAGCCAAUCGGGCUCUGACACUGUGAUGAGGCGCUGCCCGCCUCCUGACAGUGACAGGGACUGAUGGGUGACUCCACCAAUCACAUCAGGGAGACCUGACAGUGACGCUCGCCCCCCGCUGACUGACAGCAGCCUCAGCCAGUGAUGUGAGCCUGAUCCCCGGGUGUUGAAACCUGAGGCUGAGAGCAGCUGUAAGCAGGGCCAUGGCUCUGUGACAGUUACCUUGCUUAUAGAUCUCAUAUUAACAUCUGUGAGACCAACAUCGGGGCAAAGCGCUCAUACCAUCUUACCAACUCGUUUUGCCCCUGUACUGUAAAGCCACACCUGAUAGAGAGGGAUGGAGGAAUACAUUGGGUCUAGUAAGGGAAUGCCAAGCCUAAACCUAUUACGAUAUGGGGAACAGGAUGUUAUUUGAGAUGUGCCCAAAGGGAUAGUAUGACAUCAAGGAAGGUACCCUCCACCCUCUCUCUCUCCGUCAGUGUGUUGGUCUCACCCUCCCGGGAGUGUAUGGGGUGAUUAUGUUGACGUUUCUCCUCCUCUGUUUUGCUCCCUCCAUCCAAAAUGAAGGCAGGCACAGAAACUACGCUCUAGUGGUGUCUGUCUGAUGUCCAGCUGGGGAGAGGGGAGGGGGAGGGCCAUACAAUAUGACCACCCCCUAAAGUUCAAAGUUCCAAAUAUUUGAGUAAGGAGUAUGAAGGAGUAGUGGCAAAUACUGAAAUAAACUGGCCAGGAAAGAAUGAUCUGAACCGAAGUUAGACAUUGUUAUACUCAGCCAAUUUGGUUAAAAUACAUAAUUGACAAGAGUAUGAUUUUUCUAUUAUGACCACACCAACCUUUUCAACUUUUUCUUCAACUAAAUGUCUAAUUUCAUUCCUUUCAAGCAACAACAUUUAUUUUUGCAUACCUUCGAAUGAACUCUAUUGUGUUUAUUAAAGCAGUAGUGUGUUUUGUAGACAAACCUCAAUAUUCAUAGAGUACAGCUGUUAUAAAGUGUGUUUGGUUUUCCAUCUUACUGUAACUGUUUUUUUGUUUGGCAAUAUUGCACACAUAUGUAUAAUGCACUGUUUGUGAACUAACAAAACAAAGAGUGACCACUUUUCAACUAACAGAAAAACCAGCUAGAAUGAAGAAGGGGGUAGAGAGAAAUAUUGAAUAUAUUGUACUUAAUUAAGGCUUCUGGGGAAGACUACGGUCACCUAGAACACCCGAUGCUUUGUACAAAACACAUUCAUUCUGACUGUGGCGUGUAGGUGGUGGAACAUGUAAGAAAAUCUCAAUAAAGUUGGUUGAUGCACUCAUA
RNA transcript from Coregonus clupeaformis (lake whitefish), 2486 nucleotides. It is a transcript of the gene named selenoprotein Pa-like, with no coding region annotated. The transcript is spliced from 5 exons. NCBI's taxonomy places the organism in Eukaryota, Metazoa, Chordata, Actinopteri, Salmoniformes, Salmonidae. The record is from RefSeq and is a predicted model, not a curated record.